Molecule: RNA transcript, 1001 nt
Organism: Fragaria vesca subsp. vesca
Lineage: Eukaryota; Viridiplantae; Streptophyta; Magnoliopsida; Rosales; Rosaceae
Exons: 3
Source: RefSeq, a predicted model, not a curated record
GCCUUCCGAAGCAGCGCCUCCGUGGACAUAAUUCCGAUCAGGUUCCACUGGUUCAAGGCAUAUGCAAACUAUAAUCCAGAAAUGCACGAGUAUGAGCCAGUAGAACCGCAAAUUUUGUUACGCAGGAGAACUCUCAAGUUGCGGUUCUCGAGGGAGAAGGCGAGUGGCGAUGAAAAGACAAGGAUGGAGAGAUUUGCAUGGUAUAAAAGGGUCAUAGCUGGAUCUCCCAGGGAAGCCAACAAGUUGCGGAACAAGUUGGGCAGAUAUCUCCACACAGCUGUGGGUCUUGACGAAGAUAAGCAUUCUUCUAUUAUUGAAGAAAUUAUGGAAUUGCUUCCAGCAGCCGUGCCCGAUAAAGUUAUGGAGGUUCAAAUUGCGCAUGUUAUAUAUAGAGUAUAGAGAUACGGAGGAGACCUUGCACUUGCACCUGGAUGAUUUUUACUACAGGGAAAAGCUGAUUCCUGCGACUGAAUCCUUCAUCCAGGCUUUGGAGGAAAUGAAUCCACCUGAUGAUGAUGAUGAACUGAAGUGUCCUAUUUGUAUGGAAAUGUUUGCACAGAGAAACGAUAGCAGCAGCAUUACGAGGUUGCCCUGCUCACAUUAUUAUCAUCGAGAUUGCAUUGUCCCGUGGCUCCAGAUCAAUCAUCUCUGUCCCACUUGUCGCCACCCGAAUUGACUGCCACUAUGCUGUGUAUGUUUUCGAGAUUGUCACAGCCAUGCUUAGUGGAGAUUUGUUCUUAUGUUAGCCCUAUUGAUUAUGAUGAUGCAUUGAGAAGAAAAUCGACUACACAAUCGAUUUGAGAUAACUUCUUAUUCAGGCAAAUUUUGCCAAAGUUGUUCAUGUUCGACGCGAGGCCAACAUGGUUGCUCAUUCUCUUGCUAGAGAGGACAAAUUAAUUUCUUAUUCCAAUGAUAUUUUUGAUGUAAGUCCUCCGCCAGUGGAGAUGUUACUUUCUCAGGAUUGUAAUGAUGCUUAAUCAAUGAAGUUAUUCAUUCCCUCG